GCAGAUGACUUAUCUGGGCAAUGUUAUGAGAUGUUACCACCUGCUGAAGUAGAGGAUGUGGAACCUUUAAAUCAUUUAAAAGGAUUCUCGUUUGUGUGCAAGGAGUGGAGGAACAUCUCACCCAAACAAUAGAUUUUGGCCUAAAUCUUCAGAGAAGGCAGAAGAGCUAAGAGGAGCAUACAGAGAAGGACUAAUUGUGUGCCGUUGGAGCCUUUCAAUAGAACCAGAAGCUCCAGUUCUGUAGGACCUAAAUACAGAACAACAGAGACAGUCGUUUAAAAAGAAAUCCAUGGAAUUGAAAUAGAGCGAAAAAUCGCACUUGGACUGCUGACACCAGUUUUGCCUAUUUCCUGGAUCUCCAGAACAGUGACGUAACAUCUGCUUGCAUCACCCUGCCAGCACUCUGUAUGGCCCAAAACUGAUGUCACGGGCAGCCAGCAGGAAUAUGGGUUUUGACCCGCUGGGGGUUCAGAAGAGUAACCAUGGCCGAAGAAUAGCAUGGCUUCAGAACUGUAAUGUAACAUCUGCUUGCAGCACCCUGCCAGCACUCUGUAUGUUUAAAAACUGAUGUCUCAGGCGGCCAGCAGGAAUAUGGGUUUUGACCCACUGGGGGUCCAGAAGAGGAACCAUGGCCCAAGAAUAGCAUGACUCCAGAACAGUGACUUAACAUCUGUUUGCAGCACCCCUUCUUUAGGCCAAUUGACUGGCAGGCCGUGGAAGCUGGGAGAAUUAAGCCACCUUUUAUACCACCACCAGCAGAUGACUUAUCUGGGCCGUGUUAUGAGAUGUUACCACCUUCUGAAAUAGAGGAUGUGGAACCUUUAAAUCAUUUAAAAGGACUUUCGUUUGUGUGCAAGGAGUGGAGGAACAUCUCACCCAAACAAUAGAUUUUGGCCUAAAUCUUCAGAGAAGGCAGAAGAGCUAAGAGGAACAUACAGAGAAGGACUAAUUGUGUGCCGUUGGAGCCUUUCAAUAGAACCAGAAGCUCCAGUUCUGUAGGACCUAAAUACAGAACAACAGAGACAGUCGUUUUACAAGAAAUCCAUGAAAUUGAAAUACAGAGUGCGAUCUCCAGAACAGUGACGUAACAUCUGCCAGCACUCUGUAGAAGAGGAACCAUGGCCAAAGAAGAGCAUAUCUCCAGAACAGGAAUGUAACAUCUGCCGCCGGUUACUGUACUGAGCAUUUACAGAAGAAAUAAAGUAAAUGUGAAAAAUAAAUGUAAAUAAGUAAAUGUAACCCUAUCUUAAAAAAUAGGGUGUUCAUGUAUUUAUGUAUAUAUUUUGUACAAUAAAUGUAAUACAAAUGUAAAAAAAAUAUUAAUAAUGUAAGCUAUUAAAAAAAA
Xenopus tropicalis (tropical clawed frog) is the source of this 1345-nucleotide long non-coding RNA. RefSeq lists it as uncharacterized. NCBI's taxonomy places the organism in Eukaryota, Metazoa, Chordata, Amphibia, Anura, Pipidae. The transcript is spliced from 4 exons. The record is from RefSeq and is a predicted model, not a curated record.